AAAUUGAAGAGUUUGAUCAUGGCUCAGAUUGAACGCUGGCGGCAGGCCUAACACAUGCAAGUCGAGCGGAAACGAGUUAUCUGAACCUUCGGGGGACGAUAACGGCGUCGAGCGGCGGACGGGUGAGUAAUGCCUAGGAAAUUGCCCUGAUGUGGGGGAUAACCAUUGGAAACGAUGGCUAAUACCGCAUGACGCCUACGGGCCAAAGAGGGGGACCUUCGGGCCUCUCGCGUCAGGAUAUGCCUAGGUGGGAUUAGCUAGUUGGUGAGGUAAGGGCUCACCAAGGCGACGAUCCCUAGCUGGUCUGAGAGGAUGAUCAGCCACACUGGAACUGAGACACGGUCCAGACUCCUACGGGAGGCAGCAGUGGGGAAUAUUGCACAAUGGGCGCAAGCCUGAUGCAGCCAUGCCGCGUGUGUGAAGAAGGCCUUCGGGUUGUAAAGCACUUUCAGUCGUGAGGAAGGUAGUGUAGUUAAUAGCUGCAUUAUUUGACGUUAGCGACAGAAGAAGCACCGGCUAACUCCGUGCCAGCAGCCGCGGUAAUACGGAGGGUGCGAGCGUUAAUCGGAAUUACUGGGCGUAAAGCGCAUGCAGGUGGUUUGUUAAGUCAGAUGUGAAAGCCCGGGGCUCAACCUCGGAAUAGCAUUUGAAACUGGCAGACUAGAGUACUGUAGAGGGGGGUAGAAUUUCAGGUGUAGCGGUGAAAUGCGUAGAGAUCUGAAGGAAUACCGGUGGCGAAGGCGGCCCCCUGGACAGAUACUGACACUCAGAUGCGAAAGCGUGGGGAGCAAACAGGAUUAGAUACCCUGGUAGUCCACGCCGUAAACGAUGUCUACUUGGAGGUUGUGGCCUUGAGCCGUGGCUUUCGGAGCUAACGCGUUAAGUAGACCGCCUGGGGAGUACGGUCGCAAGAUUAAAACUCAAAUGAAUUGACGGGGGCCCGCACAAGCGGUGGAGCAUGUGGUUUAAUUCGAUGCAACGCGAAGAACCUUACCUACUCUUGACAUCCAGAGAACUUUCCAGAGAUGGAUUGGUGCCUUCGGGAACUCUGAGACAGGUGCUGCAUGGCUGUCGUCAGCUCGUGUUGUGAAAUGUUGGGUUAAGUCCCGCAACGAGCGCAACCCUUAUCCUUGUUUGCCAGCGAGUAAUGUCGGGAACUCCAGGGAGACUGCCGGUGAUAAACCGGAGGAAGGUGGGGACGACGUCAAGUCAUCAUGGCCCUUACGAGUAGGGCUACACACGUGCUACAAUGGCGCAUACAGAGGGCGGCCAACUUGCGAAAGUGAGCGAAUCCCAAAAAGUGCGUCGUAGUCCGGAUUGGAGUCUGCAACUCGACUCCAUGAAGUCGGAAUCGCUAGUAAUCGUGGAUCAGAAUGCCACGGUGAAUACGUUCCCGGGCCUUGUACACACCGCCCGUCACACCAUGGGAGUGGGCUGCAAAAGAAGUAGGUAGUUUAACCUUCGGGGGGACGCUUACCACUUUGUGGUUCAUGACUGGGGUGAAGUCGUAACAAGGUAGCGCUAGGGGAACCUGGCGCUGGAUCACCUCCUUA
RNAcentral lists this ribosomal RNA (1553 nucleotides) under Vibrio alginolyticus. RNAcentral's name for it is "bacterial SSU rRNA". It matches the Rfam family "Bacterial small subunit ribosomal RNA". The record is from RNAcentral. Lineage: Bacteria; Pseudomonadati; Pseudomonadota; Gammaproteobacteria; Vibrionales; Vibrionaceae.